GCGUUUCCCCCCCUCGAGACUCACUGAGGCAAUAGAACUUGACCCUGGAAAACAGGUUUCGCCGCUCAUUUGUUGAAUAAUUAACGGAUUCGGAAGCUACAAGGGAUGCCAAAGAAACCAUCAAAAGGACUCAUCAUGUCUCGAAGAUCUGUGGAAAUGCAGCAUAAGAAGGCCAUACCCUUGUCUGUGUGUAGAUCAUCAUCGAUGGAAAAACAGUUUCACAGUCAACAAGCCGCUGCUCACACUGAGACCACUGGGGAUAAAGCAGGCACGGGAUGUGGUCUGCGGUGGAAAUGCUGUGAGUUAGAUGUGAGUGGAGUUUCUGGAGGGGGAGGAUGAAGAAGGGAGGAGUAUAACAAAGAGGAGGAGAUGAAGACAGCAGUUUGGGGAGAUGGAGGAAGAGGAAACAGAGAGGAGGGAAGGAAGGAGAGCAAUUACAGGCUACCGCUGUGGCAAACUUUGAUGUUUGACAGCCAGCCAGCCUGGAGGGAGACAGUGUUGUCACCGUAGCGACCAUGGCGACUUUUGCCAGCAAAGGCAGGGGUUUUGAAGAGCGGAGUGUGGAUGUGGGCCAAUGAGAAGAAGAGGAGGAAUGGAUGAUCAACAUUCCUGUGGAGGAAGAUGUAAAGUGAGA
Lates calcarifer (barramundi perch) is the source of this 634-nucleotide long non-coding RNA. RefSeq lists it as uncharacterized. The transcript has 5 exons. NCBI's taxonomy places the organism in Eukaryota, Metazoa, Chordata, Actinopteri, Centropomidae. The record is from RefSeq and is a predicted model, not a curated record.